GGUAACAGGAAGCAGCUUGCUGCUUCGCUGACGAGUGGCGGACGGGUGAGUAAUGUCUGGGAAACUGCCUGAUGGAGGGGGAUAACUACUGGAAACGGUAGCUAAUACCGCAUAACGUCGCAAGACCAAAGAGGGGGACCUUCGGGCCUCUUGCCAUCGGAUGUGCCCAGAUGGGAUUAGCUAGUAGGUGGGGUAACGGCUCACCUAGGCGACGAUCCCUAGCUGGUCUGAGAGGAUGACCAGCCACACUGGAACUGAGACACGGUCCAGACUCCUACGGGAGGCAGCAGUGGGGAAUAUUGCACAAUGGGCGCAAGCCUGAUGCAGCCAUGCCGCGUGUAUGAAGAAGGCCUUCGGGUUGUAAAGUACUUUCAGCGGGGAGGAAGGCGAUAAGGUUAAUAACCUUGUCGAUUGACGUUACCCGCAGAAGAAGCACCGGCUAACUCCGUGCCAGCAGCCGCGGUAAUACGGAGGGUGCAAGCGUUAAUCGGAAUUACUGGGCGUAAAGCGCACGCAGGCGGUCUGUCAAGUCGGAUGUGAAAUCCCCGGGCUCAACCUGGGAACUGCAUUCGAAACUGGCAGGCUAGAGUCUUGUAGAGGGGGGUAGAAUUUCCAGGUGUAGCGGUGAAAUGCGUAGAGAUCUGGAGGAAUACCGGUGGCGAAGGCGGCCCCUGGACAAAGACUGACGCUCAGGUGCGAAAGCGUGGGGAGCAAACAGGAUUAGAUACCUGGUAGUCACGCCGUAAACGAUGUCGACUUGGAGGUUGUGCCCUUGAGGCGUGGCUUCCGGAGCUAACGCGUUAAGUCGACCGCCUGGGGAGUACGGCCGCAAGGUUAAAACUCAAAUGAAUUGACGGGGGCCCGCACAAGCGGUGGAGCAUGUGGUUUAAUUCGAUGCAACGCGAAGAACCUUACCUACUCUUGACAUCCAGAGAACUUUCCAGAGAUGGAUUGGUGCCUUCGGGAACUCUGAGACAGGUGCUGCAUGGCUGUCGUCAGCUCGUGUUGUGAAAUGUUGGGUUAAGUCCCGCAACGAGCGCAACCCUUAUCCUUUGUUGCCAGCGGUUAGGCCGGGAACUCAAAGGAGACUGCCAGUGAUAAACUGGAGGAAGGUGGGGAUGACGUCAAGUCAUCAUGGCCCUUACGAGUAGGGCUACACACGUGCUACAAUGGCGCAUACAAAGAGAAGCGACCUCGCGAGAGCAAGCGGACCUCAUAAAGUGCGUCGUAGUCCGGAUUGGAGUCUGCAACUCGACUCCAUGAAGUCGGAAUCGCUAGUAAUCGUGGAUCAGAAUGCCACGGUGAAUACGUUCCCGGGCCUUGUACACACCGCCCGUCACACCAUGGGAGUGGGUUGCAAAAGAAGUAGGUAGCUUAACCUUCGGGAGGGCGCUACCAC
This 1399-nucleotide ribosomal RNA is filed under the name Enterobacter sp. VH-18. Its description in RNAcentral is "bacterial SSU rRNA". It matches the Rfam family "Bacterial small subunit ribosomal RNA". The record is from RNAcentral. Lineage: Bacteria; Pseudomonadati; Pseudomonadota; Gammaproteobacteria; Enterobacterales; Enterobacteriaceae.